Molecule: ribosomal RNA, 45 nt
Filed under: Piptadenia stipulacea
Lineage: Eukaryota; Viridiplantae; Streptophyta; Magnoliopsida; Fabales; Fabaceae
Also listed under: 7 other names
Description: partial 26S ribosomal RNA
Source: RNAcentral
CGACCCCAGGUCAGGCGGGGCUACCCGCUGAGUUUAAGCAUAUCA